AGGGCUGUAGCUUAGAGGCAGAACAUCUGCUUUGCAUGCAUGAAGUCCCAGGUUCAAUCCCCAGCAUUUCCA
Podarcis lilfordi (Lilford's wall lizard) is the source of this 72-nucleotide non-coding RNA. Lineage: Eukaryota; Metazoa; Chordata; Lepidosauria; Squamata; Lacertidae. The record is from the annotation of a GenBank genome assembly.